Molecule: non-coding RNA, 117 nt
Organism: Homo sapiens (human)
Lineage: Eukaryota; Metazoa; Chordata; Mammalia; Primates; Hominidae
Rfam family: Metazoan signal recognition particle RNA
About the family: The signal recognition particle (SRP) is a universally conserved ribonucleoprotein. It is involved in the co-translational targeting of proteins to membranes.
Source: Rfam
GCCAGGCAUGGUGGCUUAUGCCUGUAAUCCCAGCAUUUUGGGAGGCUGAGAUGGGAGAAUUGCUUGAGGUCAGGAGUUUGAGACCAGCCUGGCCAACACAGCAAGACCCCGUCUCUA